CUCCCUCCUGCCUGUGUGGACCCCAGUGCUCACUGUCUAAAUUUGGCUUGUGUUUGGUGUGUGUUUCACCAGGCGUCCCCUACAGCUCUGUGACGGGGAAGGGAAGCCUACUACUUGCCAGUCAGCAUGCCCAUGUCAGGCCAGUCAUGAAACCGCUUGAGGCCAUCCGCUGUACGCACCCCAACUGUUUGUGUGAAUGCUUCUCCCCUGGAAAGUCCUGUCUCCGCCACUGUGAAACAUGCAAGCAUGGUUGGGUCUCCCACGCUCUUGACAAACUCGGCUACGCACACUUAUUCAACCUCGGGAUGCAGGUGGAGGUUGUCCAACCCAACAUUGUUUUCGACAUCGCAAGUCUGAUGCUGUAUGGAGCUCAGGCUACACCUAUUCGACUGAAGAUUCUCCUGGACCGUCUGUUCAGUGUCCUCCAGCAUGACGAGGUGCUGCAAGUACUCAACGGCUUCGGCUGGACGUAUGAGGACUAUGCCAGGGGAUACAUUCUUCAGGUAGGACAGGACUCUAAUGGCCGUGUCCUAGACAAGUGGACAAUUGCAUCACGGGAGGAGGAACAUAUCAUUCUUCAGCAGUUUUUGCGGUUUGGAGAGACCAAGGCCAUUGCUCAGGAGAUCAUUCUACAGGACACCAAAGAGAAACAAGACCUGUACAUCAAGCAGACAACACGAGCAGAGUCGGAGAUCAAGAAAUUCAUUGAACGCAGUAAUCUGAGCACCACACAGGGCCUCAUUCGACCUUAUGAAGCGCGACCUCUGUUUGCUGGACGUCUUCCCCUCCUGCCUCCUGGCAGCCGCCUGUUGACUCCCCCUCUCCUGCAGGCCAGUUACUCCCCCACAAGAGAUAUUCGACCUCUGGGCAUGCCUACCUCAAAUGCAACUUCCACAUCCGUCUCCCCUCUUGGCCGACUUCAGACUAUGCAACCCUUUGAGUUCCGGCGAGAUCAGACAAGUCCAGACCCAAGUCCCAACUCGGUUGACAAACCAGCAGCAAGCUCCUCCCCAUCAAGUGACAGUCCGAAGAACCUUUGUUCGACGCCUACAUCUGUCCACUCAGCUCCCUCCCCAAUCAUGUCACAGAGGAAUCUUGACAGCAGUGAGAAUGCAGCUGUGCCUGGUGGCAUCUGUGUCAUGGACGAUGAUGAUCAGUCUCUAGGGGCCAUUGAUUACUCCACAAAGGAAGACCCAGCUUCACCAGACUAUGACAGUAAAGCCAAGCAUUUGAGAAAGUCAAACCACCCAAUCAAGCGUCAGUGGACACCUUCGGCUGGGUUUGGACAAACAUUCAUUGGGCCAAAUGGUAAGAAGCGUGUGCUGUGUACAGCUUGUAACAAGACAUUCUGUGACAAGGGUGCUUUGAAAAUUCACUACAGUGCAGUUCAUUUGAAGGAAAUGCAUAAAUGCACAGUUGAUGGCUGUAACAUGAUGUUCAGUUCUCGCAGAAGUCGCAAUCGUCACAGUGCGAAUCCCAACCCUAAGCUCCACAUGGCAACUAAGAGGAAAGACAUGAGUGACAGUCCUAGACCCUAUGAUGAUGCCAAGUCUGUCAGGAUGAUUAACAGCCCACCAACCAUGGUAGUUCCUCCAUCACUACUUCCUAGAGGGACACUGCCUGGAGUCGAUGCCCAAGGCUUGAUGAGAGCUGAUCCUGCCUUUUUUGUUGACAUGAACAAUCAGUUUGCUUAUAUACAUGCCCCAGAUAAAAGACCAAGACUUGACACAGAUGACACUUCAGAUGACAAUCACGAUGAACCAAAGGACCUCAGCAACCACAUUGUGGAGGAGGGUGAGCCACUAGAUGAGGAGAGCAAACAAGAGCUCAACGUGCAGAGAGGGGGGAGUCGCAGAAAGAGCAAUGCUCCAACAAGGUGUGCUCAAAAUGACGAGAUGUAUGUCAUGUCAGAUGAUAACUCAGAUGACAAAGAUCCUUCAAAUGGCAAAUCUCUCUCAGGCAGAGGUAGGAGAGUAUCCUGUAAGGAUGGCAAGUCUGAAUCUGAUCGUCAUCAUCAGGACUCAUGCAUCAAAUCAGAACCAAAGGAUGAGGUACAGCAAGAAGAUGGUGAAAAGAAUGAAGACAUGGGCUGUGGUAAUGGCAUCCACUGUGGACCUGAAGACAAACUACAGUCAGAUCAGGACCUCAAAGAGCAAAUCAGCAGAAAACGAAAUUCCAUCAAUUUCCCAAAGAUAGCAUCCCUUUUAACCAACUCUAGCCAUCAGAACAAUAACAACAAUAGUAGCAUUGCAUCUGAUGAUAGUUUCCAGAAUCACUCUGCUUCUAUCCAUGAAGCUAGCCCAUGCUCUUCCCCUUGUCGGUCUGAUCAAGACUCUGAAGAUUCAUGCAUUGAUUCAAACACAAAUGGCCACCUUAUUGAUGACUUGGAAAUUCCGAUUGACAAGACCAAUCCCAGAAAAUGCCUGACAUGUGGAAAGAUGUUCCAGAAUCAGUUUGGUGUGAAGAUCCACUACAGGAAUGCACACAUGAAGCUUGUACAUCCAUGCACAGUUGAUGGCUGCAGUGCUACAUUUCCAUCUAAGAGAAGCCGAGACCGUCACGCCUCUAACCUAGGCCUCCAUAAGAAGCUGCUGUCAUCAGAUGACCAUGAACAGGACGGAGAUUCCAGCACCAACAUGCAAAGUUUGAGAGAAAAUGUGCUGCAGUCCCUGUACGGCCCAGACUUCAUUGAGAAUGAGACUUGUGGGAGGAAUGGCCACCUGUCUCCAUCAGCUUCUGGAUCAGCUGGGUCUGACUGCAACUCUGAUGAUGAGCCAGAAGAAGAUGAGAUCCAUCUCAAUGGCCAUGCUGGCAGUGAUGACUCAUCUGAUGCAUCUGUCUCAUGCCAUCUCUGUGAGUCCAAGUUCAGGGACAACCUGGCUUUAAAGGAACAUUUUGAGAACAUACACCCGAAGGAAAUGUUUCAGUGCACCAUCAAUGGAUGUGAAAAGAUAUUUUCAACACGUAAAAGUCGGAAUCGACACAGUCAGAAUGAUGGCCUUCACCGCCAUCUGCCGAUGGGGAAGAAGAAUGGCGUGUCCUGACCCAUGUGUCAGAAGACUAGACUCUAGCAACCUCAGUGGUUCACCAUAUGGCCACUUCUAUAUAUGCAGCACUUCCGUCAGUAGAGUAUUCAGUGUCUUCGGAACCAAUGGCGUCUGUGUGAUGCAGUUCCACAUUUCUCUACAAUAGGAGAACAAUUCUCAUGCAAUACGGUCACUUGACCAUUUAGUUCUGUAUAUGCAUUUAGUUUGUAGUGUCAGUAGUUGUCUACUACAGACUUGGAACGUUCAUAAGCAAACUGUGGUAGCAGCACUAGUGUUUCUCUAGGGUUUUCCCAGAAGCAGUGCCUCUUGAACUCUAGCACAUGACUCCAGGAUGAUGGAGCAGAGAAAGCCUUAUGUCAUGUGAGUGAAGUCCUAGACUGUCACCAGGAACUAUGCCCUAGAAUAGGAGUGUAUUGUGCUGUGGACCUCAAAGACAAAGUGGGCUUUAACAUAGAGUGAAAGUCUGUAAUGUGAGUGAGUAGACUUUAGACUUUCUUCAUCUGUUGGAUGUAAGAACAAGCUGAGGCAACAUGUCUGUGAGGAGGACAGCGUGCUAGAACAGUCCUUACUUGGUACUAGCGAGGUCAGCAUCAUCACCUCAGAGACAAAGGGAUUGUGUAUUGAAGCAAUAGUUUGGUAUGGGCAUCUAGCUCACAUAAUAAGGUUCAUCUGGACCAGCUACAGUGCCCAUGUGUGCCAUAGUGGACCAUCAGUUUAUAUAUCCAUGACAGCCACUACUGCAAGGGUGGUCUGGGUGGGAGGCUGAAUCUUCAUCAGUAUUAUAGUUCCUGCAUAUAUUUGCAGAGAUGUGUGCCUGCAAUUCAGUAAAACAUUGCUAUGUCUGAUUAGAAUAGUUGAAACAUGCCCGUAUCACUUUCUGGAGAUACUGUCAACUUCCGUUGGAUAACCUUAGAUACAAUUCUGUAUGUUAGACCAUACAGUGUUUCUCACAUUGAUAUUGUGCAUGUACAAUUAACCCUAAAACUAUCAAAAGGCAACGUGCAACAGAAUCCCAAUAACAGCUAUAUCUGAAACGGCAGGUGUUUCUCUUCAGACUUAGCAACUGUUUUGCUGAUUGGUGCAGACUAGGGAGGAGACCCUUUUCAGAGGGACUCGGCAUAUCACUACCACAUGUGCAAUGGUCAACUAUUUAUUUAUUGAAUCUAUGCAUGUUUUAGCAAGUUAACACGUUAUAUACAUGUCAUUGUUCAUUUGCCAUCACUUACCCACAUCAUGAAUGUUGUUUUGUGCAUUUUAUACCAUGUUUGUAGAUGAUCUCAAGACGAGCAAGUUUACUGACAAAUGCUUUUUCAUCAUAUAUAAUCACUUCCAACCCCAGUUUUACAUGACAAAUAUGCACAUAUUGUAGCAUCAUACAUAUUAUGCAAUCAUAGCGGGAAAUGGCCGCCUUAUCAAUAGCAAUUGUUUUAGAUCUUUUGAUCAUUACACAUUAGAUAUAGUUUAUUCUCUUUCUUUGUAAUCUUUAGAAACUCUUGUCCUUCUAUAUUCAUCUCAGUGGUCUCAUAAAACACAGGUAACCUAUAUUUCUCCACCUUUCAACACAUAUUUAUUGCUCCUAUCUUCAAGAGUCUAUCACUUUAACUCUUUCUACAAGAUUCUCAACACACCUGAUGCCUGUUCUUAGUACAGAGUUGGGCCUGUUUCUCUUUCUUUGUCAUUUAAAGCAUAAUAUUUUCUUCUCACCAACUGAAAAACUUCAAAUUGAAUAUCUGUAUUUGUGAAUACCAGAAUUAUUUGGUGUUAUUUGAUGCUGUGAAAUCUGGUCAAGACAAAUGACAAUUGAGCAUUAGCAGUGGGGGGUUGUGCAGAUUAUGUUUGUGUAAGUGAUAGAACAAAUAGAGAUUAAUUAUUCCAUGUCCCAAACUUUGCGAUCACCUAGUUUGUGGUAUUCACAGUACUUUAUGCUUUAGGGCACAGAACUAGUCUCACUUGUUUGUUUUAUGGUGCUAUUACAAGAUUUAACAUUUGCAAUAUUUUUCAUACAUUUCAAACAUGAGUGGAUUUUUUUUCUCUAUAUUCCUAAGUUUUAGUUGGUUGUUUUUGUGAUGGUUAAAGGUAGCAAUUGUGUGCUCAAGUGAUUAUAUUGUCAUUGUUUUGCCAUUAUUUUAACAUACAUACACUCAGGAAUAUAUCAGAUUUAUUAACUAACUCGGUUUUAGUGUGUAGCAGUAGAUUUGCUGAAAUAUGUAUGGGGAUUCAUAAUAAUUUGCAUAAAUUAGCAUAUCAUUUCAUAAAUCCAUUUUAGCUGUGCAAUAUUGCAUUAUAAAUACAUCAUACCUCAGACAUGUGUGCAAUCAGCUGUGACAGUCCCAUGGAUAUUGAUAUAUAGAUCUUACACUUUGUUUGAUUGGGCUCAAAUCAAAACUUGUAUUUUUAGAUAUUUUUUUCAGUUUGAACAAUACCCAGUAUACACAGUUAGCCUUAGACAUGACUAAGACUAAGACUUCCAUGAUUGUAGAGUGGGUCCACAACUAAGGAAUUGUGCAUAAACUAAUUUGUGUGCCAUACAAUGUAGUCUGUUUGUCUGUUGGUCACAUGUUCCAAACACUGGAGAUUUGUUGGAGGGUUUUCAGUAUUUAUUUUUGUGUAAAAAUAUUAUUUGAUGUCAUUAUUUAUUUCUCAUUCGUUUGUAAAUUUUAAUGCCUUGAAAAACAAAAUAUUUAUAUUGUUGGUAUGGUAACAUUGGUUAGUGAUAUUUGUUUUAAGACAAGGUAGAAUAAAACAAUAAGAAAACAUUUCAAAAAGAUUUUGUUCUUGUUGUUUUACAUUCUGGACAUAAGAGUGAAAUGAUAUCUAUAUCAGUAGUACUAGGCAGGCUUACAUGUUGAAUUAUAAACAUUUUCCACCAUUGUGUUUUGAUGUGUUUUCAUUAUGUUGAGAAGAAAGUCGGUUAAUUAAUAUAUAAGGUAGAGUUUUAUAGUUUCUGAGAUUCAUUGUAUGGUUGUGCUAAUUUCAGAUAGAUAUUGUGUUUUAUGUUGAAAAAAAACACUACAGAUGUUUUGUCAGUUAUUAUUUAUUUGCAUGUAAAUGAUGUAUGUGCCCAUUCACAGUAUGCCAAAACAAAGGGUUUUCUGUACGAAUCAGCUUAGAAUCUAUGCACAUUCUUUACAUUUUGUUUGGUAAUAAUGAUCCAUUGAACUAUUAUCACGAUGACUGUAUGAACAUUAUUACAAUAUGGUAAUGUAUAUGAAAUGUAACCUUUAUCUGUUGUGCAUUUAUUAGGGCUGAUGAUCUGCCAAAAUAACUAGUUUAAAAAAUGUUGAUUAAACCAAUAUUGAUACUUAUUGGUGGCUUUUUAUGAAGACUAUGUUAAGUAUUACCUUUUAGCAAAUUGCCAAGACAUUGUUUUGCCAGAUCAUCCUUGGAUCAAAAACACAUGGGAAAUAAAUAUUGCAAUGUUCGUGCACUGAUGCUGCAGUUCCUACAGACAGGUUCCCGUCCUGCAUGUCAAGGCUUCUUUUGUCAUUGUAAGAAGUCAUGGCUUGAAGCUUAGAAUAAGGCAUCCACUUAAAGAAGGAAAAGAGGACAUUAGGUUAUACAGAUAUUCAAGGUUAAGCACUGUCCUAAAGUAAUCAAAUCAAAAUGGCUGAAUGGUUAAUGCAAUUUGUGAAAUAUUACCUUAUAAUUCAAGAGGGUUGAAGGGUCGAGAUGGAUGUAGGGGCACUAUUCGAGAUGGGUGUAGGGGCACUGUUCGAGAUGGGUGUAGGGGCACUAUUUGAGAUGGGUGUAUGGGCACUGUUUGAGAUGGUUGUAGGGGGCACUGUUCGAGAUGGGUGUAGGGGGCACUAAUCAAGAUGGGUGUAGGUGUACUGUUCGAGAUGGGUGUAGGGGCACUGUUCGAGAUGGGUGUAGGGGCACUGUUCGAGAUGGGUGUAGGGGCACUGUUCGAGAUGGGUGUAGGUGUACUGUUCGAGAUGGGUGUAGGGGCACUGUUUGAGAUGGUUGUAGGGGGCACUGUUUGAGAUGGGUGUAGGGGGCACUGUUCAAGAUGGUUGUAGGGGGCACAGUUUGAGAUGGUUGUAGGGGGCACAGUUUGAGAUGGUUGUAGGGGGCACUGUUCGAGAUGGGUGUAGGGGCACUGUUCGAGAUGGGUGUAGGGGCACUGUUCGAGAUGGGUGUAGGGGGCACUAAUUAAGAUGGGUGUAGGUGUACUGUUCAAGAUGGGUGUAGGUGUACUGUUCGAGAUGGGUGUAGGGGCACUGUUCGAGAUGGGUGUAGGGGCACUGUUCGAGAUGGGUGUAGGUGUUCUGUUCGAGAUGGGUGUAGGUGUACUGUUCGAGAUGGGUGUAGGGGCACUGUUCGAGAUUGGUGUAGGGGCACUGUUUGAGAUGGGUGUAGGUGUACUGUUCGAGAUGGGUGUAGGUGUACUGUUUGAGAUGGGUGUAGGGGGCACUAAUUAAGAUGGGUGUAGGUAUACUGUUCGAGAUGGGUGUAGGGGCACUGUUCGAGAUGGGUGUAGGGGGCACUGUUCGAGAUGGGUGUAGGGGGCACUGUUCGAGAUGGGUGUAGGUGUAUUGUUCGAGAUGGGUGUAGGGGGCACUGUUCAAGAUGGAUGUAGGGGCACAGUUCGAGAUGGGUGUAGGUGUACUGUUCGAGAUGGGUGUAGGUGUACUGUUCGAGAUGGGUGUAGGUGUACUGUUCGAGAUGGGUGUAGGGGGCACUGUUCGAGAUUGGUGUAGGGGGCACUGUUCGAGAUGGGUGUAGGGGGCACUGUUCAAGAUGGGUGAAGGUGUACUGUUUGAGAUGGGUGUAGGGGGCACUGUUCAAGAUGGGUGUAGGGGGCACUGUUCGAGAUGGGUGUAGGGGCACUGUUCGAGAUGGGUGUAGGGGGCACUGUUCGAGAUGGGUGUAGGGGCACUGUUCAAGAUGGGUGUAGGGGCACUGUUCAAGAUGGGUGUAGGGGCACAGUUCAAGAUGGGUGUAGAGGCACAGUUCGAGAUGGGUGUAGGGGGCACUGUUCAAGAUGGGUGUAGGGGGCACUGUUCAAGAUGGAUGUAGGGGGCACUGUUCGAGAUGCGUGUAGGGGGCACUAAUCAAGAUGGGUGUAGGUGUACUGUUCAAGAUGGGUGUAGGGGCACUGUUCAAGAUGGGUGUAGGGGCACAGUUCGAGAUGGGUGUAGGUGUACUGUUCAAGAUGGGUGUAGGGGCACAGUUCGAGAUGGGUGUAGGUGUACUGUUCAAGAUGGGUGUAGGGGCACAGUUCGAGAUGGAUGUAGGGGCACUGUUCAAGAUGGGUGUAGGGGCACUGUUCAAGAUGGGUGUAGGGGCACUGUUCAAGAUGGGUGUAGGGGCACUGUUCAAGAUGGGUGUAGGGGCACAGUUCGAGAUGGGUGUAGGUGUACUGUUCAAGAUGGGUGUAGGGGGCACUAAACAAGAUGGAUGUAGGGGCACAGUUCGAGAUGGGUGUAGGGGCACUGUUAGAGAUGGGUGUAGGGGGCACUUUUUCGAGAUGGGUGUAGGGGGCACUAAUCAAGAUGGGUGUAGAGGCACUGUUCGAGAUGGGUGUAGGGGGCACUAAACAAGAUGGAUGUAGGGGCACAGUUCGAGAUGGGUGUAGGGGCACUGUUAGAGAUGGGUGUAGGGGGCACUUUUUCGAGAUGGGUGUAGGGGGCACUAAUCAAGAUGGGUGUAGAGGCACUGUUCGAGAUGGAUGUAGGUGGCACGGUUCGAGAUGGAUGUAGGGGGCACUGUUCGAGAUGGCAGUAUAUAUUUCCUGUAUGUUGUUGAGUGUAUCUUUGUUGAGUUAUAGUAACUCUGUGUCAUUGUUACUUGAUUGCUUCCACCCGGAAUUUGCCAAACUCAGAUUUGUUUACCCCUGUGAUAACACUUUUGUUGAGAGCAUGCUUGAGUGAUAUGGAACUGUCAGUGCCAUCAAACAAAGGAAGCCAGAUCAAGGAAGUCUACUGUUUAUAAUGGCAUUAAACUUUGUAAACAUUAACAACUCCAAAAGGUUCAACAUUGGACACCAACAGUUAUGUAUUACAUCUGUGAAUGUUAACAUGUCUACAGUAUUACACUGAUAUCACUUGAUCUGUGCAUGUUGCUCCAUAGAGCCAGAAACAGCUCAUUAUUGAUAAACUGUGAACUUUGGCCACACUUUGAGAAUCAAGCAUCAAGCUUAAGAGGAGGGAGGUUGGACAGGGCAAGUUUAGUUCCUACAUAUAGAUUCAUCCAAACAUUGACUUUCAUAGUUUAGUGUAUUCCAAGUUAAGAACUGUAUGUUAUUAUAGAUGAAAUCAUUAUAACUGGGUCCAUUUUGUAGACAGGAACAUGUAGUCCUUCAUAUAUGUAUAAAGGAGAUUCAUUACUAGAUAACAUACAUCUAAGAUAUUGAACUCAAUUCAAGAUUAGGUGUAUCACUCAAAGUUGGGAAAGUAAAUGAUGAUGAAAGUGAAAUUAUUUCUCCAAAAGCAACAUGCAGACUAGAGCUUUCAUACAGGCUUGUAUUUUUUGGUGUGUGUUUUUAGUUUUUUGGGAAUACAAGAAACGGAAACCUUGACAUUGACAACAGUUUAUUUGGGCUCAUAUUUUCAGCUAUAAAACUGAUAUUCCUAAUUUUGGAUUAUCUUGAACCAUAAUUUAGGUAUGGUAGAACAUUCCAGUGUGGGAUAGUAUUUUAGUGUGACAUCCACCCCAUACCUGGGUUGUCUCCCCCUUGUCCCAGCCUGUCCCCCCAGUCCAACUUGCCAACUUCUCCUUUAUACACAGGUUACUGUUGUGCUGUAUUCCAACUAACUUGUGUGGCCGCUACCAUAGUCCUCACGUUCACCUACUAAUUUGCUUGAAAUUUUGUAACAAACACAAUUUUGGGCUGUUAAAUUUGAGACCAUGCAUUGUGGAUUGGUGGCCAUGGGCCAAGGUGUUUGUGGCCACAUGGCGGUCUCUUUGUGAUGGCUACAAUGGUUCGUUUCCAUGCUAGUGUAUGACAUCUUAGCAAGUCAAGGUAGAGUCUUGUUAGGUGUUUAAAGUGUAAUCAAAAUAACAUGCAUGGCGAUCUAGUUGUGUACCUCUGUUUUAUUGUAUGACAAGAAGACAUACAUACAGUCAAAAUUUAAAUUUGCAGCAUUUGGGUGUAUCAUCAUAACUAUAUUUGACCAAUAUGUAAAUUAAUCAAAAGUAAGAAGUCAAGGACAAAGCUUUAUUUGGACAUUCAAGUGACAUAUGGAUCGUCAUGCAAUGAACUGACUUAUGUAGUUCUUAGUAUUAUUUUGUACACGAUUUGGAAAAAACACAAAAAUAAGUUGAAUUCUGCAUGGCUCAAUUUAGCUAGAAUUGUUUUUGUCACAUUGCCACGUAGUUCUGAGCUGUACAACGUUUACUUGUGUAUUUAUUGUUGAGGCGAAGAUAUUUAUAUGAGUAAUUUGACUGGUUUUAUCUGGUCAGGUUAGAAAUAAACGUUUACACGAAAAUA
RNAcentral lists this unclassified non-coding RNA (10479 nucleotides) under Haliotis rufescens (red abalone). Its description in RNAcentral is "zinc finger protein basonuclin-2-like, transcript variant X3". The record is from RNAcentral. Lineage: Eukaryota; Metazoa; Mollusca; Gastropoda; Lepetellida; Haliotidae.